UGGUGAUUUCUAGGAAGUGACCUCACA
This 27-nucleotide non-coding RNA is filed under the name Homo sapiens (human). Lineage: Eukaryota; Metazoa; Chordata; Mammalia; Primates; Hominidae. The record is from RNAcentral.